AUUGAACGCUGGCGGCAUGCCUUACACAUGCAAGUCGAACGGCAGCACGGGUGCUUGCACCUGGUGGCGAGUGGCGAACGGGUGAGUAAUACAUCGGAACAUGUCCUGUAGUGGGGGAUAGCCCGGCGAAAGCCGGAUUAAUACCGCAUACGAUCUACGGAUGACAGCGGGGGACCUUCGGGCCUCGCGCUAUAGGGUUGGCCGAUGGCUGAUUGGCUAGUUGGUGGGGUAAAGGCCUACCAAGGCGACGAUCAGUAGCUGGUCUGAGAGGAGGACCAGCGACACUGGGACUGAGCCACGGCCCAGACUCCUGCGGGAGGCAGCAGUGGGGAAUUUUGGACAAUGGGCGAAAGCCUGAUCCAGCAAUGCCGCGUGUGUGAAGAAGGCCUUCGGGUUGUAAAGCACUUUUGUCCGGAAAGAAAUCCUUGGCCCUAAUACGGUCGGGGGAUGACGGUACCGGAAGAAUAAGCACCGGCUAACUACGUG
Molecule: ribosomal RNA, 486 nt
Filed under: uncultured bacterium
Lineage: Bacteria
Description: partial 16S ribosomal RNA
Rfam family: Bacterial small subunit ribosomal RNA
Source: RNAcentral